AGUGAUGAAGGCCUUCGGGUCGUAAAACUCUGUCCUCAAGGAAGAUAAUGACGGUACUUGAGGAGGAUGCCCCGGCUAACUACGUGCUAGCAGACGCGGUACUACGGAGGUGGCUUGAGUUAUCCGGCUUUACUGGGUGUAAAGGGUGCGUAGGCGGUCUUUCAAGUCAGGAGUGAAAGGCUACGGCUCAACCGUAGUAAGCUCUUGAAACUGGGAGACUUGAGUGCAGGAGAGGAGAGUGGAAUUCCUAGUGUAGCGGUGAAAUGCGUAGAUAUUAGGAGGAACACCAGUUGCGAAGGCGGCUCUCUGGACUGUAACUGACGCUGAGGCACGAAAGCGUGGGGAGCAAACAGGAUUAGAUACCCUG
Molecule: ribosomal RNA, 367 nt
Filed under: Clostridioides difficile
Lineage: Bacteria; Bacillati; Bacillota; Clostridia; Peptostreptococcales; Peptostreptococcaceae
Description: bacterial SSU rRNA
Rfam family: Bacterial small subunit ribosomal RNA
Source: RNAcentral